UUUUAUAAAACGAUUCUAAGUUCUGUCGCAUAUGCCGACAGCUAAGAGGGAAACAGGUGUGAGUCCUGUACAGUCGUGCUACUGUAAAUGUGUAGUUUUACUCCAUAUCCAUUGCAGAAUUGUGAGAAGGCGGAGGCAAGACGUUACUGCAUAAGUCAGGAGACCUGCUUAGAGUUACUUCCAUUU
Molecule: non-coding RNA, 186 nt
Filed under: Clostridium sp.
Lineage: Bacteria; Bacillati; Bacillota; Clostridia; Eubacteriales; Clostridiaceae
Also listed under: 1 other name
Source: RNAcentral